UAUAUUAAAGUGUAAGAUGCACAUUAGUUUUUGAAACUAUUUGGGAUAGUUUAAUUCUAUCUAGUAUAA
RNAcentral lists this transfer RNA (69 nucleotides) under Sphenacris crassicornis. RNAcentral's name for it is "tRNA-Gln". It matches the Rfam family "tRNA". From Rfam's summary of the family: Transfer RNA (tRNA) molecules are approximately 80 nucleotides in length. Their secondary structure includes four short double-helical elements and three loops (D, anti-codon, and T loops). Lineage: Eukaryota; Metazoa; Arthropoda; Insecta; Orthoptera; Pyrgomorphidae. The record is from RNAcentral.